UUUCUAGUGAAUCUUUAUUGUGAUUUUAGUGUAGAUUUGCUUCUGGUUGAAAAUGUUCUAUAUCAAUAUCAACAGCACCCUUAUUUGUCAGUAUUUCAAUGUUUCCUCUAUUAACUAAUGCAAUAUUAUGCAAAACUCAACAAGCUCAUAUUAUUCUUUGAAAAAAUGGUAACUUGCUUCUUAUUACACACGUUAAAAUGGGAAAUCUCUUCAAAAUACCAAAUGUUCUUUCAAUCACAAUUCUUGGUGAAUCUUCUAAUGGUGUCAUUUUAGGUAGUUGAGGACUGGUCCACUAUUCCCUAAUAAUACAUUGUCCAUAAAUUCCCCAUUUUAUACCCAUAAUAUGCAAAAGUAUUUUAACAACUCCUAAAAUAAGUAGUAUUUCUAAUAAUUGCAUUUUCAUAAUUAUAAGAUGAUUAUUAUGGAUUAUGGUAUUUUUUAAAUGACAAAAUUAUUUUAUCUGGGUCUAAGAUCUUAUUACAUGUAAAAAUUUGAUAGGUUAUUCGUAAAUCUUUAUUAGGCAAUCCAAACCACGUGACCUCUGGUUGGCACACAAACUAACCAAGAGGUUAUGUUUGUAUCUAUUUUUCAAUGAUUUUUCAUUGUUUAUCGUCGUAUUUUGUCUAUUUUCAUUUGAUUUGGAUUUCGUUUCCUGUUUUUGUGAACUUUAUAAACUUUACCACAAUGCAAACUGAUUAUUUAAGGAAAUUAUUAUUGGAAACUCCAGAUGUUGCGAGAAAGAUAUUUAUUGAAGCUGAAAAUAAUUGGGGAUUUAGAUCCAUACGGAAUUCAGUCAGAAUUGGAUUUUACAGUAAAGUGCAGUCCAUCAAGUUACUAUUAUAGAUAUUUAUACAGAUCUGGCGGAGUCUCACAGUUGCUACUCUAAGCAGCAGAUGAAAGCAUACAAAAGCCUUCAGGCACAUACAUAUUUUACAUCUGGAUUUGUUUUGAAUGGAGUAAAAAUUGUUAAUGAUUUCCUGAUUUCCAUAUUAUUGUUGGAAAGGUGAAGCAUUUCCAAAAAGCUAAUGCUAAACGACUUAAUGGUUGGGUGGGGUGAUAGCCAGUUCUGAUGACAUAGCAAAUGCACAUUGUAUGCGUAUGGCCGGUAAUAGUGAAGUCUGCAGCAAUCCUAUUUUUAGCUGAGUAUGCCCAGAGCAAGACAGACGAACAAGAACCCAAUGCAUGUACAUAUGUUACAGCUACAUGGUUUGGAGAUAGCAACAUAUGCAUUCUCUGAUGAAAAACUAAUGAGUUUUGAAACUGUUCGGUCAGAGUGCUUGUUGCGCUCACUAAAAGAACUGAAAUAUAAGAUGGCUUUGGCAUUGUGUUGCAGCGAUAUGAAAAUGGUUAUUCAUUUUUAAUUAUAAUGUACUUCUUCAUCAUGAGUAAUUAUGUAUUGGUCUUUUAGAUGUGUAUUUAUUUUUGUAAUUAGUAUCAACUUGUAAUGAUAAUAUACAUUUAUCGUUUAAGGUACGACUAUGUUUUGACUCUAAAAUAAAUGUUUUAAAAAUCGAA
Long non-coding RNA from Diabrotica virgifera virgifera (western corn rootworm), 1515 nucleotides. RefSeq lists it as uncharacterized. The record is from RefSeq and is a predicted model, not a curated record. NCBI's taxonomy places the organism in Eukaryota, Metazoa, Arthropoda, Insecta, Coleoptera, Chrysomelidae. The transcript is spliced from 3 exons.